UCAACAAAAAAAAUCAACAAA
Molecule: non-coding RNA, 21 nt
Organism: Caenorhabditis elegans
Lineage: Eukaryota; Metazoa; Nematoda; Chromadorea; Rhabditida; Rhabditidae
Source: Ensembl